GAGUGGAAAGUCUCUUGUGGCUGAACUAGAAGAUAUAUAUUUUGGGAGCUGCCAGUAGCCAUAUUUCCAAUGAUGGGAACAGAGAAGUGAGGGACGUGAGUUCACUCUCAGGGAGAAAAAAUGCAACAGAGGCUAGGAAACAAGCACUAACAUGAGAUGUGGAGGGAGUCCUGAGGGAAUGUGGGAACUUGGUUAUAGCAAUUCCUAAGCCCCCAUUGAAAUCAUGCUCUCAGGUUCCAGGAGACAUUCCAAUGUCCUUUAUAACAAAUCCUCCAUUUUGCUUAAACAAAGUUGAGUUGGGUUGGGUGUCUGUCACUUGUAUUACACAGUGUUAAAUUGAAUGAAGUACACUAGACCACACGCAGAAUUUACAAAAGUAUUACCUAGAAAUCCAUAAUCACAAUUCUCAAAAUCCCUCGCCCACAAUGUGGAAAUCAUACAUUGCCAAUUUGUUGGAAGCGAAGAGAGAAUUUAACAGAAAGUAUGCCUCUGAAAUGAGCCAUGCCUAGAGCUUCCAGCCCCAUAAGACAGAGGGUGGAAGUACUUUCCCUUCACCUCAAGGCAAGAGGAUACACCACUUAGGCAGCUUGACAUUAUUCCCUGCAGUUAGGAGGACCCAGAAGGCUGGUGCUGGACUCCUGCCCAUGAAACCUCGAAGGCAGGAGGGCUUGGCAGACCAGCUGCUUCAGUUGAGAAGUUAAGGAAAGCUGCUGCUGAAUUGACACUGGCCUAUACUCCUGGGAUUUGUCAGAACAAAAGAGGCAGGAGUGCUUUUUAUGGACCAUAUAGGCACCGGAGUUCCCAGCCCCCAGAG
RNAcentral lists this long non-coding RNA (814 nucleotides) under Homo sapiens (human). RNAcentral's name for it is "HSALNT0364900". The record is from RNAcentral. Lineage: Eukaryota; Metazoa; Chordata; Mammalia; Primates; Hominidae.